AACAUCGCGCACCUGCGGGAACCUGCGGAAGGAUCAUUACUGAGUGUAAAAACUCCCAAACCCAUUGUGAACAUACCACUGUUGCUUCGGCGGAUACGCCCCGGGCGCGCUCUUCACAGGGCGUGCCCCGGAACCAGGCGCCCGCCGGGGGACCGAAACUCUUGUUUUCUUAGGAUCUCUGAGUGUGAUUAUUAAAUAAAUCAAAACUUUUAGCAAUGGAUCUCAGAUCGGAAGAGCACA
RNAcentral lists this unclassified non-coding RNA (240 nucleotides) under soil metagenome. RNAcentral's name for it is "partial contains 5.8S ribosomal RNA, internal transcribed spacer 2, and large subunit ribosomal RNA". The record is from RNAcentral.